GAUGAACGCUGGCGGCGUGCCUAAUACAUGCAAGUCGAGCGAACAGACGAGGAGCUUGCUCCUCUGACGUUAGCGGCGGACGGGUGAGUAACACGUGGAUAACCUACCUAUAAGACUGGGAUAACUUCGGGAAACCGGAGCUAAUACCGGAUAAUAUAUUGAACCGCAUGGUUCAAUAGUGAAAGACGGUUUUGCUGUCACUUAUAGAUGGAUCCGCGCCGCAUUAGCUAGUUGGUAAGGUAACGGCUUACCAAGGCAACGAUGCGUAGCCGACCUGAGAGGGGGAUCGCCACACUGGGAACGGGACCAGGUGCAAACUCCCACGGGGGGGAACAAGUGGGAAACUUGCGCAAAUGGGGGAAAGCCGAAGGGGGCAACGCGGGGGGGGGAAUGAGGGUUUUGGGAUGGAAAAACUUUUUUUUGGGGAAAAAAAAAAGGUGGAAGAAACUAUGCCGGUUUGAAGGGUCCCAAAGAAGAAACCCACGGCAAACUACGG
RNAcentral lists this ribosomal RNA (496 nucleotides) under uncultured bacterium. Its description in RNAcentral is "partial 16S ribosomal RNA". It matches the Rfam family "Bacterial small subunit ribosomal RNA", at positions 28 to 506 of the family's 1533-position model. The record is from RNAcentral.